GGGCGGGACACGUGUUAUCCUGUCUGAAUAUGGGGGGACCAUCCUCCAAGGCUAAAUACUCCUGACUGACCGAUAGUGAACCAGUACCGUGAGGGAAAGGCGAAAAGAACCCCUGUGAGGGGAGUGAAAUAGAACCUGAAACCGUGUACGUACAAGCAGUAGGAGCACCUUCGUGGUGUGACUGCGUACCUUUUGUAUAAUGGGUCAGCGACUUAUAUUCAGUGGCAAGGUUAACCAUCUAGGGGAGCCGUAGGGAAACCGAGUCUUAACUGGGCGCCAUAGUCUCUGGAUAUAGACCCGAAACCGAGUGAUCUAGCCAUGGGCAGGUUGAAGGUUGAGUAACAUCAACUGGAGGACCGAACCGACUAAUGUUGAAAAAUUAGCGGAUGACUUGUGGCUAGGGGUGAAAGGCCAAUCAAACUCGGAGAUAGCUGGUUCUCCCCGAAAGCUAUUUAGGUAGCGCCUCGGACGAAUACUACUGGGGGUAGAGCACUGUUAAGGCUAGGGGGUCAUCCCGACUUACCAACCCUUUGCAAACUCCGAAUACCAGUAAGUACUAUCCGGGAGACACACGGCGGGUGCUAACGUCCGUCGUGGAGAGGGAAACAACCCAGACCGCCAGCUAAGGUCCCAAAUUACAGCUAAGUGGGAAACGAUGUGGGAAGGCUUAGACAGCUAGGAUGUUGGCUUAGAAGCAGCCAUCAUUUAAAGAAAGCGUAAUAGCUCACUAGUCGAGUCGGCCUGCGCGGAAGAUGUAACGGGGCUAAGUUGUAAACCGAAGCUGCGGCAAUGUUCUAUGAACAUUGGGUAGGGGAGCGUUCUGUAAGCCGUUGAAGGUGUGUUGUAAAGCAUGCUGGAGGUAUCAGAAGUGCGAAUGCUGACAUGAGUAACGACAAGGGGGGUGAAAAACCUCCCCGCCGGAAGACCAAGGGUUCCUGUCCAACGUUAAUCGGGGCAGGGUAAGUCGACCCCUAAGGCGAGGCUGAAAAGCGUAGUCGAUGGGAAACGGGUUAAUAUUCCCGUACUUCUUACAAUUGCGAUGGGGGGACGGAGAAGGCUAGGUGGGCCUGGCGACGGUUGUCCAGGUUCAAGUGCGUAGGCUGAGUGUUUAGGUAAAUCCGGAUACUCUUAAGGCUGAGACACGACGUCGAGCUACUACGGUAGUGAAGUCAUUGAUGCCAUGCUUCCAGGAAAAGCCUCUAAGCUUCAGAUUGUAAGGAAUCGUACCCCAAACCGACACAGGUGGUCGGGUAGAGAAUACCAAGGCGCUUGAGAGAACUCGGGUGAAGGAACUAGGCAAAAUGGUACCGUAACUUCGGGAGAAGGUACGCUCUUGAUGGUGAAGUCCCUUGCGGAUGGAGCUGACGAGAGUCGCAGAUACCAGGUGGCUGCAACUGUUUAUUAAAAACACAGCACUGUGCAAAAUCGUAAGAUGACGUAUACGGUGUGACGCCUGCCCGGUGCCGGAA
Molecule: ribosomal RNA, 1469 nt
Filed under: Vibrio vulnificus
Lineage: Bacteria; Pseudomonadati; Pseudomonadota; Gammaproteobacteria; Vibrionales; Vibrionaceae
Description: partial 23S ribosomal RNA
Rfam family: Bacterial large subunit ribosomal RNA
Source: RNAcentral